Molecule: ribosomal RNA, 253 nt
Filed under: uncultured bacterium
Lineage: Bacteria
Description: partial 16S ribosomal RNA
Rfam family: Bacterial small subunit ribosomal RNA
Source: RNAcentral
UACGAGAGGCCCAAACGUUAAUCGGAAUUACUGGGCGUAAAGCGUGCGCAGGCGGUUUUGUAAGCCAGAUGUGAAAUCCCCGGGCUUAACCUGGGAAUGGCAUUUGGGACUGCAAGGCUUGAGUUUGGCAGAGGAGACUGGAAUUCCUGGUGUAGCAGUGAAAUGCGUAGAUAUCAGGAGGAAUACCGAUGGCGAAGGCAGGUCUCUGGGCUGAAACUGACGCUCAUGCACGAAAGCGUGGGGAGCAAACAGG